This 412-nucleotide ribosomal RNA is filed under the name uncultured bacterium. RNAcentral's name for it is "bacterial SSU rRNA". It matches the Rfam family "Bacterial small subunit ribosomal RNA", at positions 505 to 916 of the family's 1533-position model. The record is from RNAcentral.
GUGCCAGCCGCCGCGGUAAUACGUAGGUGGCAAGCGUUGUCCGGAAUUAUUGGGCGUAAAGAGCAUGUAGGUGGAUACUUAAGUCUGUUGUGAAAAUGCGGGGCUCAACCCCGUAUUGCGAUGGAAACUGGGUGUCUUGAGUGCAGGAGAGGAAAGGGGAAUUCCCAGUGUAGCGGUGAAAUGCGUAGAUAUUGGGAGGAACACCAGUGGCGAAGGCGCCUUUCUGGACUGUGUCUGACACUGAGAUGCGAAAGCUAGGGGAGCGAACGGGAUUAGAUACCCCGGUAGUCCUAGCCGUAAACGAUGGGUACUAGGUGUAGGGGGUAUCGACCCCCCCUGUGCCGGAGUUAACGCAAUAAGUACCCCGCCUGGGGAGUACGGCCGCAAGGUUGAAACUCAAAUAAAUUGACGG